AACUGCGAUAAGUAAUGUGAAUUGCAGAAUUCAGUGAAUCAUCGAGUCUUUGAACGCACAUUGCGCCCCCUGGCAUUCCGGGGGGCAUGCCUGUCCGAGCGUCAUUGCUGCCCAUCAAGCCCGGCUUGUGUGUUGGGUCGUCGUCCCCCCCGGGGGACGGGCCCGAAAGGCAGCGGCGGCACCGUGUCCGGUCCUCGAGCGUAUGGGGCUUUGUCACCCGCUCGACUAGGGCCGGCCGGGCGCCAGCCGACGUCUCCAACCAUUUUUCUUCAGGUUGACCUCGGAUCAGGUAGGGAUACCCGCUGAACUUAAGC
RNAcentral lists this unclassified non-coding RNA (314 nucleotides) under plant metagenome. RNAcentral describes it as "partial contains 5.8S ribosomal RNA, internal transcribed spacer 2, and large subunit ribosomal RNA". The stretch from base 1 to 104 matches the Rfam family "5.8S ribosomal RNA", at positions 51 to 154 of the family's 154-position model. The record is from RNAcentral.